RNAcentral lists this ribosomal RNA (156 nucleotides) under Penicillium paxilli. RNAcentral describes it as "5.8S ribosomal RNA". It matches the Rfam family "5.8S ribosomal RNA". From Rfam's summary of the family: 5.8S ribosomal RNA (5.8S rRNA) is a component of the large subunit of the eukaryotic ribosome. Lineage: Eukaryota; Fungi; Ascomycota; Eurotiomycetes; Eurotiales; Aspergillaceae. The record is from RNAcentral.
AACUUUCAACAACGGAUCUCUUGGUUCCGGCAUCGAUGAAGAACGCAGCGAAAUGCGAUAAUUAAUGUGAAUUGCAGAAUUCAGUGAAUCAUCGAGUCUUUGAACGCACAUUGCGCCCUCUGGUAUUCCGGAGGGCAUGCCUGUCCGAGCGUCAUU